CCGACAUAACGGCCAUACCAUUCGCAGAGGACUUUUCCUCGCCUGGAGCUUCCGCCGGCGAAGUGAUUUCACCGGAGGCAGACGGACCCACCGUCGAACCUGACGGAGCACCUCCGGAGGGACCCAUCGCCGAGGCUGAGGGAGCAUCCCCGGAAGGACCCAUCGCCGAGGCUGAGGGAGCAUCUCCGGAAGGACCCAUCGCCGAACCUGACGGGGCAUCUCCCGAGGGACCCAUCUCCGACGGCGAGUAUGCUGACGGAGAAUCUGACGGCGAAUAAGAAACAGAGGAAGGAGAUCCUGCGGGAGACGAAGAUGGGGAUCCGGCGGAAGAAGAUUUUGGUGCCAUUGAUCCUGACGGUGAAUAACCCGGUGCAUACGACGGAGGAGCUGGCGGAGAAGUCACCGGAGAAGUUGCCGGAGAAACAGGGGAAGAUGAUUUAGGUGACAUUGAUCCCGGCGGUGAAGAACCCGGUGCAUACGACGGAGGAGCUGGCGGAGAAGUUGCCGGAGAACCAGCGGAGGAAGAUUUAGGUGGCAUUGAACCCGGCGGAGAAGUCACCGGAGAAGACGACGGAGAACCAGGGGAAGAUGAUUUAGGUGACAUUGAUCCCGGCGGAGAAGAUGACGGAGAACCAGGGAAUGAGGAUUUAGGUGGCAUUGAUCCCGGCGGAGAAGUCAUCGGAGCAGAGGACGGAGAACCAGGGGAAGAGGAUUUAGGUGGCAUAGGUGCGGGUGGAGAAGUCGACGGAGACAUAUGAGAGGAAGAUUUAGGUGCCAUUGAACCUGGUGGAGAAGUUGCCGGAGACUUAGCGGAGGAUGAUUUAGGUGGCAUUGAUCCCGGCGGAGAAGUCACUGGAGAAGAAGACGGAGAAACAGGGGAAGAUGAUUUAGGUGGUGUAUGUGCCGGUGGAGACGUCGCCGGAGAAACAGGGGAUGAAGAUGAUUUAGGUGGCAUUGUUCCCGGUGGAGAAGUCACCGGAGAAACAGGGGAAGUAGAUUUAGGUGGCAUAGGUGCCGGUGGAGAAGUCGCCGGAGAAACAUGGGAAGAAGACUUAGGUGGCAUUGAUCCCGGCGGAGAAGUCACCGGAGCAGAAGACGGAGAAACAGGGGAAGAAGAUUUAGGUGGCGUAGGUGCGGGUGGAGAAGUCGCCGGAGAAACAGGGGAAGAGGAUUUAGGUGGUGUGUGUGCGGGUGGAGAAGUGGCCGGAGAAACAUGGGAAGAAGACUUAGGUGGAAUUGAUCCCGGAGGAGAUUUUCCCGGUGAUGCUGCUUGAGGAGGAGCCGGAGUUCUAACGGACAAGACAACGACAGUAAGCUUUUGUCCCUUCUUACAGUUAUCUUCAUUGCCACUGAUGAAGUAAAAUGGACCAGAGCGUUCAAGCGAGAUCUCAGAAUCUCCGUCGUCAACUUUCUUGAUAGGAUUCUUGGUAUUACAUCCGUCGUAAUCAGCCUUGUUCACCUCUAGCACCGAGUCCAUUCCCUUAGCAUAGCUGAAAUCUGCAAGUACCCAAACUGAGUCUCAGACAAAAACAAAACAAAAAUAGUAAUCAUAUGACUAAUAAGAAAGAUAGGCUAUUUGUACAUACAGAGUGUGUCGUGUACUACGAAACGGCUCUUUCCAGCCCAAGAUCCGUAAUUUUCCGGCGGAUUUGGAACCCACGCGCCGCUCCCUCCGACUUCAAACCUCCUUGCAUCGGUA
Molecule: long non-coding RNA, 1699 nt
Filed under: Brassica rapa (field mustard)
Lineage: Eukaryota; Viridiplantae; Streptophyta; Magnoliopsida; Brassicales; Brassicaceae
Description: long non-coding RNA (BRAP_LNC002255)
Source: RNAcentral